CCCUGAGUUGCAAUUCCCUGCUGAUCUCACAUUAAUUCAUCUUUGCUAGAGAAAUAUCUGAGUGUCUGUUUUGGUUCAAUAAAGCC
RNAcentral lists this non-coding RNA (86 nucleotides) under Bos taurus (domestic cattle). RNAcentral also lists the same sequence under 1 other name. The record is from miRBase by way of RNAcentral. Lineage: Eukaryota; Metazoa; Chordata; Mammalia; Artiodactyla; Bovidae.